RNAcentral lists this ribosomal RNA (491 nucleotides) under uncultured bacterium. RNAcentral's name for it is "partial 16S ribosomal RNA". It matches the Rfam family "Bacterial small subunit ribosomal RNA", at positions 29 to 507 of the family's 1533-position model. The record is from RNAcentral.
GUGAACGCUGGCGGUAGGCCUAACACAUGCAAGUCGAACGGCAGCACGGUAAGAGCUUGCUCUUACGGGUGGCGAGUGGCGGACGGGUGAGGAAUACAUCGGAAUCUACUUUUUCGUGGGGGAUAACGUAGGGAAACUUACGCUAAUACCGCAUACGACCUACGGGGGAAAGCAGGGGAUCUUCGGACCUUGCGCGAUUGAAUGAGCCGAUGUCGGAUUAGCUAGUUGGCGGGGUAAAGGCCCACCAAGGCGACGAUCCGUAGCUGGUCUGAGAGGAUGAUCAGCCACACUGGAACUGAGACACGGUCCAGACUCCUACGGGAGGCAGCAGUGGGGAAUAUUGGACAAUGGGCGCAAGCCUGAUCCAGCCAUACCGCGUGGGUGAAGAAGGCCUUCGGGUUGUAAAGCCCUUUUGUUGGGAAAGAAAAGCAGCAGGUUAAUACCCCGCUGUUCUGACGGUACCCAAAGAAUAAGCACCGGCUAACUUCGUG